Molecule: RNA transcript, 1538 nt
Organism: Cercocebus atys (sooty mangabey)
Lineage: Eukaryota; Metazoa; Chordata; Mammalia; Primates; Cercopithecidae
Gene name: ATP synthase subunit alpha, mitochondrial pseudogene
Exons: 1
Source: RefSeq, a predicted model, not a curated record
ACACACAAAAAUGAAAUAUCUAGGAAUACAGCUAAUCAAGAAGGUUAAAGAUCUCUACAAACCUGACAACGUUGGUGUUGUCGUGUUUGGAAAUGAUAAACUAAUUAAGGAAGGAGAUACAGUGAAGAGGACAGGAGCCAUUGUGGAUGUUCCAGUUGGUGAGGAGCUGUUGGGUCGUGUAGUUGAUGCCGUUGGUAAUGCCAUUGAUGGAAAGGGUCCAUUUGGUUCCAAGACCCAUAGGCGAGUUGGUCUGAAAGCCCCUGGAAUCACUCCUUGAAUUUCAGUGCGGGAACCAAUGCAGACUGGCAUUAAGGCUGUGAAUAGCUUGGUGCCAAUUGGUCAUGAUCAGCAUGAGCUGAUUAUUGGUAAUGGACAGACUGGGAAAAUCUCAAUUUCUGUUGACACAAUCAUUAACCAGAAACGUUUCAAUGAUGGAUCUGAUGAAAAGAAGAAGCUGUACUGUAUCUAUGUUGCUAUUGGUCAAAAGAGAUCCACUGUUGCCCAGUUGGUGAAGAGACUUACAGAUGCAGAUGCCAUGAAAUACACCAUUGUGGUGUCAGCUAUGGCCUCGGAUGCUGCCCCACUUCAGUAACUGGGUCCUUACGCUGACUGUUCCAUGGGAGAGUAUUUUAGAGACAAUGGCAAACAUGCUUUGAUUAUCUAUGAUGACUUAUCCAACCAGGCUGUUGCUUACCAUCAGAUGUUUCUGUUGCUCUGCCAACCCCCUGGUCAUGAGGCCUAUCCUGGUGAUGUGUUCUACCUACACUCCCGAUUGCUGGAGAGAGCAGCCAAGAUGAACAAUGCUUUUGGUGGUGGCUCCUUGACUGCUUUGUCAGUCAUAGAAACACAGGCCGGUGAUGUGUCUGCUUACAUUCCAAGGAAUGUCAUUUCUGUCACUAACAGACAGAUUUUCUUGGAAGCAGAAUUGUUCUACAAAGGUAUCCACCCUGCCAUUAAUGUCGGUCUGUCUGUGUCUCAUGUCGGAUCUGCUGCCCAAACCAGGGCUAUGAAGCAGGUGGCAGGUACCAUGAAGCUGGAAUUGGCCCAAUAUUGUGAGGUCACUGCUUUUGCCCAGUUCAGUUCUGACCUCGAUGCUGCCACUCAACAACUUUUGAGUUGUGGUGUGUGUCCAACUGAGUUGCUGAAGCAAAGACAGUAUACUCCCAUGGCUAUUGAAGAACAAGUAGCAGUUACCCAUGUGAAUGUAAGGGGCUAUCUUGAGAAACUGGAGCCCAGCAAGAUUACAAAAUUUGAGAAUGCUUUCUUGUCUCAUGUUGUCAGCCAGCACCAAGCCCUGUUGGGCACUAUCAGGGCUGAUAGAAAGAUCUCAGAAGAAUCAGAUGCAAAGCUGAAAGAGAUUGUAACAAACUUCUUGGCUGGAUUUGAAGCUUAAAAUCCUAUGGAUUCACAUCAAAUGCCAGUUCAGUUUUGUCAUUGUUUAUUCUAGUAAAUUAGUUUUAUUUGUGAAAGGGUUACUCUCAUACUCCUUGUGUACAGAAAUCACGUGAAAAAUAAAGAUUCCAUAAUGUGAAAAAAAA